Molecule: ribosomal RNA, 1390 nt
Filed under: Kingella kingae
Lineage: Bacteria; Pseudomonadati; Pseudomonadota; Betaproteobacteria; Neisseriales; Neisseriaceae
Description: partial 23S ribosomal RNA
Rfam family: Bacterial large subunit ribosomal RNA
Source: RNAcentral
UUCUUAACACCGAGACGUGAUGACGAGUGUCUACGGACAUGAAGUGACCAAUACCACGCUUCCAGGAAAAGCCACUAAGCUUCAGUUGAAUCAGAACCGUACCGCAAACCGACACAGGUGGGCAGGAUGAGAAUUCUAAGGCGCUUGAGAGAACUCGGGAGAAGGAACUCGGCAAAUUGAUACCGUAACUUCGGGAGAAGGUAUGCCCUCUAAUGUUAAGGACUUGCUCCGUAAGCAUCUGAGGGUCGCAGAGAAUCGGUGGCUGCGACUGUUUAUUAAAAACACAGCACUCUGCUAACACGAAAGUGGACGUAUAGGGUGUGACGCCUGCCCGGUGCUGGAAGGUUAAUUGAAGAUGUGCAAGCAUCGGAUCGAAGCCCCAGUAAACGGCGGCCGUAACUAUAACGGUCCUAAGGUAGCGAAAUUCCUUGUCGGGUAAGUUCCGACCCGCACGAAUGGCGUAACGAUGGCCACACUGUCUCCUCCCGAGACUCAGCGAAGUUGAAAUGGUUGUGAAGAUGCAAUCUCCCCGCUGCUAGACGGAAAGACCCCGUGAACCUUUACUGUAGCUUUGCAUUGGACUUUGAAGUCACUUGUGUAGGAUAGGUGGGAGGCUUUGAAGCAGAGACGCCAGUCUCUGUGGAGCCGUCCUUGAAAUACCACCCUGGUGACUUUGAGGUUCUAACCCAGACCCGUUAUCCGGGUCGGGGACCGUGCAUGGUAGGCAGUUUGACUGGGGCGGUCUCCUCCCAAAGAGUAACGGAGGAGUUCGAAGGUUACCUAGGUCCGGUCGGAAAUCGGACUGAUAGUGCAAUGGCAAAAGGUAGCUUAACUGCGAGACCGACAAGUCGAGCAGGUGCGAAAGCAGGACAUAGUGAUCCGGUGGUUCUGAAUGGAAGGGCCAUCGCUCAACGGAUAAAAGGUACUCCGGGGAUAACAGGCUGAUUCCGCCCAAGAGUCCAUAUCGACGGCGGAGUUUGGCACCUCGAUGUCGGCUCAUCACAUCCUGGGGCUGUAGUCGGUCCCAAGGGUAUGGCUGUUCGCCAUUUAAAGUGGUACGUGAGCUGGGUUUAAAACGUCGUGAGACAGUUUGGUCCCUAUCUGCAGUGGGCGUUGGAAGUUUGACGGGGGCUGCUCCUAGUACGAGAGGACCGGAGUGGACGAACCUCUGGUGUACCGGUUGUUUCGCCAGAAGCAUAGCCGGGUAGCUAAGUUCGGAAGAGAUAAGCGCUGAAAGCAUCUAAGCGCGAAACUCGCCCAAAGAUGAGACUUCCCUUGUGGUUUAACCAUACUAAAGAGUCGUUCGAGACCAGGACGUUGAUAGGUUGGGUGUGGAAGAGUGGUAACACUUGAAGCUAACCAAUACUAAUUGCUCGUGAGGCUUGACUCU